Non-coding RNA from Vicugna pacos (alpaca), 837 nucleotides. The record is from RefSeq and is a predicted model, not a curated record. NCBI's taxonomy places the organism in Eukaryota, Metazoa, Chordata, Mammalia, Artiodactyla, Camelidae.
CCAAACUCCCCCUAAAUAUGAAUAAUGAUUUGGUACAUGUGUGAUAAUGCUUUUCCAGAUCUUACAUAUUGAUAGAUUAUAUAGAAAUGCAUACAGAAAGAACAUGAAGCCUUCCCUUUCUACAAAUAAAGGAAGCAAGCUGCAUCCGGCGCUGUGGCUGGGCAGGAGGGGGAGCCUGGGCAGGGCUGGAGUUGGACAAGAGGGCUUUCUCAUUGAUGCCACGUCAGCUGUCCCCCACCCUCAGGCCCUUGGAUCUACCCUUACCCAUCUCUGCAACCUGCCAUUCUCUGCUCCCCUUCCCCUGUGCCUGCCCAGGUAUCCCUGCCUUAUGAUCCCCACCCCCAACCACAUCCCCCAAACCCAAAAAUCUUACUCCAUAGUCUUCUUGAAAUAAUCUCCUGUUAAUAUUUCUCUGCUCAAAAUAUUUAAGAAUCUCUCAACUGAUCUGGUGAAUUGAAGAAAUCUCCACGCCUGGCAUUGGAAGCACUCACAUUUCGGCCGGGGUUUAGGGGUUCUCGAUUAAAAUAAGUAAGAAUGAAGAAUGAAGCAGUUAAAGGAUGACUAGGUCUCUACCCCCAACAGCCCCCUUGGCCAUCCUGCAGGCAGAUCACGAGGGCAAGAUAACAUCUGAAGAGAGAGUCAGCUAUCUGCACGCAAUGGAGAAGGAUGCAGAACCCAACCUCCUGCCUCGACAAGUCACUGAGAUUCUUCCCCCCAUUUUUCCCUUUAAAAACUGUCAUGGCCGAGCAGAAUCUUCAGAGUUGGUCUCUGGACACGAGUCCACUUUCUCCCCAGAUUGCUGGCUUUUCUGGUUAAAGCACCUUUUCUUUCUAUUGA